AGGGAUAAUAUAACAGCAAUAACAAUGUUAAGAAGGAUUUGUUACUUAGACAUGUUAAUGUACAAAAAAUUCAAUUUAACAUAUGCAUGUAAUGCACAAUGGUUCCAUGAAUUGUAGACACGUUGUGCAUGACAUAAAUAACCACGAUAACUCUCAAAUAAUGUUUCCAAAUGCAGCUUCAGAAGUUAGAAAAGUAGACCCUGAUUAUGUCGAGGGACAGUACCAAACCUUUUUCAGCGAUGGUUAUCCGUUCUUAAUCGCAUCUCAGGUCAGUCCAGUUGCAGUUGCGAAACAAAGUCGAAACUACUUAUAUAAGUCCUUACUUUUUAUUUGCCAUUUAUUACUUUCAGGAAUCAUUGGAUGCACUAAACGAGCUUCUAGAGGAACCGAUACUUAUGAAUCGUUUCAGACCCAAGUAUUAAUUUUUUCAAGCCUGUGUCUAGUGUUUCAUAGUAUUUGUUACUAGUUUAGAUCACGCAAUUGAGAUUUUGGUGCCACGUGGUGCAGUAUCCUUGUUGAAGGUUGUGAACCGUACUCUGAAGAUCUAUGGAGAGAUUUCAAGAUAAGCAGCUUCUCAUUUCAGGGUGCCAAGCUGUGUUACCGUUGUAAGGUGAAAAAUUCUACUUUAUAAUCUCCUAGAUAUCCAUAUUCAAAAAGCGAGCUGAACCAACCAGUUCAACCUAUUGAACCAGGAACCGUUCAAUUGACUGGUUUGUUUGAUCUCAGUUAAAUUUAUCUGAGAAUACAUGCCAAUAGCAUUUAUCUAAUGUGCAUUAUUGAUGAUGCUUAUUAUGGUAAGAUUCCAACAAUCAAUCAAGAGACAGCAAAAGUUGGACCUGAACCAAAUGAAACUCUCAUGAAAUAUAGGUCUGGCCAAAUCAUAAGACCAAAUGAUAAAAACAAAAAGAGGGUGAGACAUUCAUUCAUCAAACUUUCAAUUAAAAUGUCCCUUUUGUAUAUUAAUGUCAAGUGACAUAUGAAAUGCUUGUGAUGCAGGUCUACUUUGGUCAUGAUAUAGUGUGGAACUGGAUGGAAUCUUCUGCUAAGGAGGAUGGAAAAGUCCUUAAAUUGGGAGAUCCUGUUUAUGUUAUAAAAAAAUUCUCUUCUCCAGCAGAAGCAGCUGCUUAAAAGGCUAUAAUGACUUAAACUUUUAUCAAAAAUUAGUACCAGUGGCUAUAUUGAAAUUAAGUGAUUAUUACAUGGUUGCUGAACUUUGCUUUGAGCUGUUGCAACUUGUAGAUUGUAAUGCAUCUAUUAUGCCUUGUAUCCAAAUAAUCACAUGAAAAUAAGGAUUGUGCAAAAACUAAAAAAUACCUUUCAUUUGUUUUAUAUUUUCUUUUUGUUCAUCGUUUUUAUACUUUUUGUCCAAUUAUUUUACACAUGCAUUUAAAGAUGUGUUGUCACAUUUAAUGAAUAUGAUUAUAUUAAUUAAUUGAUGUGACAACAUAUGUAUUUGUAAAAUAAUCGUACAUUGAAAGAGCAUAUUAAUUAAACUAUUUCAAAAAUAAGAGGAGAGAUUUCAUAAAUAUAUAUUCUUAUCAUAGCAUUUGGAACAUGUUCAACAAAAAUUGAGAACAAAUUUGUUGGUCAAAUUACCUUUACAUGUUAAUCAAUUUUUUUCUUAAGUUAUUUAAUUACAACAUAAUAAAUUUCAGCAUUUGGAUGGAGUGUAGGAAUUUGAAAUUUUAUAGAGAACUCUAAUUAAGUAAUCUUCUCUGCAUAAAUAAAUUCAAUAACAAACAUUAAAUAGUUGGUACUUGAGUUUGGAAGGGUUAAUCAGCAAGUUUUUGCGCCAAACAGAUCAUGUCAAUAUCUUAUCAUGCGUAUGAAUCGGAUCCUUAGAGAGUUUGUAGAGGUGAAAUAUAUCUAAUCAUUAAUGUUAUUGUGAUGUGUGACGUGGCUCCUAGUGAGUCAGCUAUUUAUUCCAUUAGCAUUGCAGGGAUUAUCCUUUUUUAUGUAACAACAAAGAGAAAGAGAUAGCAAGAAAGAAGAAUAAUAUUAAUGGGUGCUGCAUCAUCAAGUUCAACAACAUCUGAGACAGAGUCAUCAACAACACCUGAUGCUAAGGUUACAGGCCUUUUCAUAUAUCCUGUUAAGUCAUGCCGUGGAAUUCCUCUUUCUAAUGCUCCACUCACACCUUCUGGUACCACAUAUAUUCCUUCUUGUAUUAUUUAUUUUUUGAAAACUUGGACCGACUAAUCCGAGGGGUCCAAUCCAAAUGUUUACUUGAUAGGAUUUCGAUGGGAUCGACAGUGGAUGGUUGUCAAUUCAAAAGGGAGGGCAUGCACUAUAAGAGUUGAACCAAGGUUUGCUUUGAUUGAUGUUGAACUACCACCUGAGGCAUUUCUUCAACACUGGGAACCAACCACUGAUUCCUUUAUGGGUAUAUUUCAUUUUUCAUAAGCUCCUUCAAAACAUAUCAUACCUUUUUAUUUAUUGAUUUUAUUUGUUUUCAUAUGGUAAAAUACUACGGUGACAUUUUAUAUGCUGAGGUCCGGGUUUAAACUCAUAGUUUUUCACUUCUCAACAUUUAGUGUGAGUUUCACUGUUAGGUCUUUAUAAUCAAAAAACAAAAAUGAUGUGAUGUGUUUCGGAAAAUAUUCAAGUCUCGGAUAGAAUAAAGAUAAGGUCUGAAAUAUGUUUAUAAAGAGUGACAACCUUCCCCUUAUAAGUCGGUUUUGUAAGAAUGAAUUAGUCCCAAUAUAAAAUCUUAAUAGUGUGAGCUGUGACUAGUUUUGUUCCUUAAGCAAGUGGUUGUAGGUUUGAUUUCUAACUCAUGCAUAUAAAUUCACUCUUUGAUAGAUUAAAUCUUUAAAUGUAUCCAGAUUUGAAAGGGUUUAGUCUUCAUAGUUGCGUGCAGAGAGUACUCUUGGUAGUAUUGAACAUCGUGAAAUUAAUGAUGCCACUUGUGCAAUGCCAUGGAACAUGUCAUGUAUUAGGGGUAGGGGCGACAAGGGAGACUGUAGGAGGAGAUGAAGGUGUUUUUUUUCGUAACCAAUUUAUUGAUGCGAAAUAUCCAUAGGCUAGCUAGUCACUUUUAGUUAGGUCUACCUGCCCAACCACGUUUUUUCCAUCUAUAUUUGCGCAGUCUAGUCUUUUUCUAAAGGGAAAAAACUGCAGUAUAUGGUGUGCUGGUAUAAUCACAUUUGAUUAUAAGGUAUAUCCUUUCAGGGUAGGGCGGGCUAUAUGGUGAGCUGGUAUCUAUGCUUAUCAUAAAUGGAAUGUAAACUCUUUUUUGAUAUCUAAGAGAUUUGAGCUACUAUCAAAUACAUCAAAUGCUUGCAUAAACCGCACAGCAUGAUAGAAAACAACUUCCACCUCUGUAUUUAUCAAAACCUUCAUAAAUAAAAAAUCAUCAAAGUCAAAUUUGAUAUAAAGCAAAAUAAGUGACUCGUCAACUUCUCGUGAACAACACGAAAAACGUUGCUUGUUAUAUAAGAAUGUAGAAGCCUUACAAGGCAGGACUAAGUGAUUUAUUGUUUCUGAACUAGAAGUGUACAAUACAUUACAAAUUAAGAAGCAAAACAAAAGUGGUAAGAUAUAUGGAUCUUAUGGCAUAAACAUGUAAGCAAGUGUUUGAUUUUUUUUUUUAAUCAGCAAAUAUUAUUAAGCAAGUAUGCACAAAACCCGAAAAGGAGGAAAAAGAGUACAAGCAAGAGGGCCUUAUAACAGCUGACGCCUCCACACCAAAAGAACACUCGAUAAAAAAACCCCUAAAUACCGGAAACGAAACAGAACCGGUACUAACACUUACAAACCUUUUGCCACAGCACUAAACAAACGGCAAAACAGGCAUUACGUACAGUCCUAAAAAACAUACUAACACAGCCCGCUAAGGACAAACAGCAGCAAGCACAAAAAGAACAGGACCACUAUCGCUGCUCCCUACCUCCAAAGCACAAAAAGCUGCAACAGGACACCCACCAGCGGAGCACCAAGCAGACAGACCACAGCCAGCAAACCAAGAGCACACAGGCAGGCCGAAAACCACAAAACCAGCAAAACUGUGAUGCUUAAAAACAGAAAAACUGUCAGCAGAUCCAAAAAAACUGACAGCCCACCAAAACUCAUCUCAAGAGGCACUCCCGUGGACACCAACUCCACUCAUAGAACAUACAAGUCGGAUUAUUAAGUCUUCCUCCACAAGCUCCUUCACAAGUGUUUGAUUGAGUUUAUGAAAUAGCUUACAGCCAAUCUAUAACUUCUUCUGAGCUUAUUUUUAUAAGCUAUUAAGAUAAAAUUAUGCAAAACAACUUAUGUGGAAGGGCUUAUUGCUUUAAACUCUUAUGUGAUAAGUUGUUUUUGAAUAAAUAUUUAAUUAAGCCAUUUGCAAAUGCAUAUUCAGUUCAAACAAGCUUGACCUCCAAAGUAUCAUCCCUUACUGUUUUCUGAAUUAAGGAUGAGACUGAGUUCGAAUCCCUAUCGGAAAUGUAUUGCUAAGUCUGCCCCCUCCCCCUAAAUAAAAAAAUAAUAGUCCCCCUCCCCUAUUUAUUUAACAAAAAACAUGUGAACCCUUUGACUUGAUUUACAUGCUUAUACUUGUGUUUUCUAGGUUAUUUGCCAAGUAUCCUCGUUAACACUUAUGAAAAAACUUUGAGGGGAAUUUGUGAAAUUUUGUGUAGUAUAUUCAAUUCCUCUCUUCUUGUUUAUGGAAGCCAUUGAUAAAUGUCUGUUAUAUAAUGGACAUCAAUGUUGUCUUUUUCCGUCCUAUUUGAUAUCUGAAGUAGUUAGGACAUGAUUUUUUAUAUAAGUUUCUGCCUUUUAUUCCGCAUUCUGUGUUCAUAUUUCAUUUUUAAUUUCACAGAAUCCUUCCUUCUGUUCUUAAUUUUUAUAAAAUAGAAAAAUUGCAGUAGUUAAAAGUUUAAACGCCAAUAGACUUUUGAAUGGCACAUUCUUCAUGAUCAUGAUUGCUUUUUCUUCUUCCUUUCUUUAGUUAAUGAAUGGAGUUUUUUUAUCUUCAUGUUACAGUGUUGAAAGCACCUGGGAUGGAACCUCUGAAAGUUUGUUUGAACAAACAGUAUGAAGUAGAAGAUGAUGUUACGGUGUGGGAAUGGACUGGCUCUGCCUGGGACGAGGGAGCUGAAGCAUCACAGUGGUUCUCAGAUUAUUUAGGAUAUCCUGCUAAACUGGUCCGCUUCAAUACUGGUAACGUCUUUGAAACCUUAAAGAAUACAAAAAUGAUGAUAACAAUGUUUAGAAGGAUUUGUUACUUUUAGACACAUAAAUGAUUGGUAAAGGACUAUAACGGCUUCAAGAAAACAUGAGUAUUACUAGGACUAACUUGUUGCUUUUAUAAUAAAUGUGUUUAAUAUGAUGUGAACAAAAUCAAUUUAACAUAUGCAUGUAAUGCACAAUGGUUCCAUGAACUGCGGUUGCAUUGUGCAUGAUAUAAAUGACCACGAUGACUCUCAAGUAAUGUUCCAAAUGCAGCUUCAGAAGUUAGAAAAGUAGACCCUGAUUAUGUCAAGGGACAGCACCAGACCUUUUUCAGCGAUGGUUAUCCGUUCUUACUCGUAUCUCAGGUCAGUCAAGUAGCAGUUGGGAAAUGAAGUCGAAAGUUUACUGAUUGAAAUCUUUACUUUUUGUUAUUUAUUGCUUUCAGGAUU
This 5606-nucleotide long non-coding RNA is filed under the name Medicago truncatula (barrel medic). RNAcentral describes it as "long non-coding RNA (MTRU_LNC008268)". The record is from RNAcentral. Lineage: Eukaryota; Viridiplantae; Streptophyta; Magnoliopsida; Fabales; Fabaceae.